GGCAAGAUGGCUGAAAAAGCAUAGGAUUGUAAAUCCUUGAAUGUAGGUGAAAGUCUUACUCUUCGCCA
Molecule: transfer RNA, 68 nt
Filed under: Apostichopus japonicus (Japanese sea cucumber)
Lineage: Eukaryota; Metazoa; Echinodermata; Holothuroidea; Aspidochirotida; Stichopodidae
Description: tRNA-Tyr
Rfam family: tRNA (bases 4-63)
About the family: Transfer RNA (tRNA) molecules are approximately 80 nucleotides in length. Their secondary structure includes four short double-helical elements and three loops (D, anti-codon, and T loops). Further hydrogen bonds mediate the characteristic L-shaped molecular structure. tRNAs have two regions of fundamental functional importance: the anti-codon, which is responsible for specific mRNA codon recognition, and the 3' end, to which the tRNAs corresponding amino acid is attached (by aminoacyl-tRNA synthetases). tRNAs cope with the degeneracy of the genetic code in two manners: having more than one tRNA (with a specific anti-codon) for a particular amino acid; and 'wobble' base-pairing, i.e. permitting non-standard base-pairing at the 3rd anti-codon position.
Source: RNAcentral